GGAGAGAUUUGAGUUCUUGAACCUCAAAGCUCCAAAACUUGCUUUAAACUUGAAAAUCUUCAAAACAAGGUGAAAACUUGUGAAAAUCGUGAAAGAUUUGAAGGAAGAAACUCAAGAUUGGUGAGGAAUGGCGGAGAGCUCACCUUGGCCGACAAUGGGGAGAAAACUCGCCCAUUUCGGCUAAGGCACCCAUUUAUAGUGGCUGGCCAGGCCACUUUCGGGAGCCGAACGCGCCUCCGCAUGCAUGCCAUGUUCGGCGGCCGAACCUGGACUUCCCUCACUUUUGCCUUCGGGGGCCUAAGGCACACCUGAAAUGCAUGUAUGUUCGGCGGCCGAACCUGGGUUUUCCUCCAAGGUUGUUUUCAUGCAAAAACUCAUUUCCAUCUUGCUUAAAAUAAUAAAACACAUUAAAACAUUUUAUGAAAACAUGGUUUUACCCUUCUAGAGGUCUCCGACAUCCGAGAUUCUACCGGACGGUAGGAAUUCCGAUACCGGAGUCUAGCCGGGUAUUACACAUAAUUUGAAAGUCUUUUCUACGCAUGAAGUGACUUUGGAGUCCUCUAAUGAAGAUUAAUAUGAAAGUCAUUUUGUACAGACUUGUGAAGUCAUUGUUUUAACUUAGAGGAUACGGUAACGAGUUGAUGUAUUUCAAUCAUUAUUGCAAUUGUGUAAUUCAUACAUACUGUUUUAUAUCAGAGAUAUUGUAACGACCCGAAAAUCGGACCGCUACCGGCGCUAGGAUCCAGAUCGGCUUAAGGCCGCCGGGACCCGUAGCAAGCCUGAUAUAUAACCUGUAAACUUGUAUAAUCCCAUACAUGAUCGACAACAUUCAUAAAAAUUAAAACUUUUCUUUUCAUUCAUACACCAAACUCAACCUGUGCAUGCACUAUAUAUAACAUAAACAUAACAUUGAUCCCUCUGUGGGAUCUCAUCAGUACCCCAAGGGGUGGCAUAACCUGUGUUGAGUUGGUUUACAUAAACAUCAUAAAACACCUAUGAUCAUGUAUUAAAAAGGGAUAACAACAUUCUAUGGUCAAGCACACCUUUAACAUCCAUACACAUCAUCUCAUUACAUAACUAUACUGUACUUUUACAUUACAUCAAAGUCAUUUAUCAUGUCCACAUAACUAUUACAAAACCAAGACUUCCUUACUCCAUCCGGACUCCUGCUCUAUCCUGUACCUGCAAGCCUGGGGGUAAAGGGAGAGGGGUGAGCUAAAAACCCAGUGAGUAGAACUAUAAAAACAUAUUAACACUAUGCUCCAAUGAAAUGCAUCAUAACACAAACAAUUCACAUAAGGGUUGGGUGAACUUGUCACCAAUUAGUCCCAGCUAUCUCUGUGCCAGGCCGUAGCAUGGGGUCCUGGUCUUCCUGUCAUAUCAUACAUUACUUACCAUUGCCCCAGGGCCUCCUCUGGGCUCCUGGUCUUCGAGUCCCAUAACCGUGCCAGGCCGUAGAAUGGGGUCCUGGUCUUUCCUUACUCUGUGCCAGGCCGUAGAAUGGGGUCCUGGUCUUCCUGUCAGGGACUAAUUGGGUCAUCCAAUAUUCACCCACAUCAACAACAAAGGAUGCAAUGCGGCAUAUUCGUGAAAUCUAAUGCAAUCAUCCUAUUGCAUAAUCAUGAUGCAUGAAACAUGAUAAAACAUUAAAUUUCUCAAUUUAAAAGAUUAAGUUUAGUUCCACUCACCUCUGGCUGACUCUGACAAUGUAACGACCCGAAAAUCGGACCGCUACAGACGCUAGGAUCCGAGUCGGCUUAAGGCCGCCAAGACCCGUAGCAAGCCUGACAUACAACCUGUAAACCUGUUCAAUCCCAUACAUGAUCAACAACAUACAUAAAAAUUAAAACUUUUCUUUCAUUCAAACACCAAACUCAACCUGCACAUGUACUGAACAUAGACAUAAUCAUAAACAUCGACCCCUCUGUGGGAUCUCACCAAUGCCCAAAGGCAAUUACUGUAACAGCCCGCUUACCGGACCAUCACCGGCACUAGGAUCCAGAUCGGCUUAAGGCCGCCGGGACCCGUAGUAAGCCUACUGUCAACUCUGUGUACCUGAUAAAUCCCAUACAUGAUCAUACUUAAGCUUAAAACUGUUACUUACUCUUCUCUAUUAUUUUUUUUUUCUUUCUUUGCUUGACUAUCUUUUCUUUUCUUGAAACUUUUCUCAUCAACUAAGCCUGGACUAUGCAUGCUCUGUCUGUAUGCACUCGAAGAGUGAUACCUGCUAUGGUACCAUACAGUAACUACAGAGAUAGAAAUACUACCAUGCACCAAGCCUAGCUCUCAUAACAACAUUGUCUCAAACAUAUAUAACAUAAAAGGAUCAUGUACAAAGGAAUAACAAGCACUAGGGCCAAGCACAAUACUAUAACUCACUAUAUAACUUGCUAUUACAUCAUUGCUAUACAUUACAUAAACUCUGUACUGUACAUCAUUAUCAUGUCCACCAUUCUAUACUAUUACAUAUGCCUUUUACCCUUGCUAUCUCUUUCUCUUUCUCUUCUCUGAGGCCCUGAAAAAAUGGGGUUAGGGAGAGGGAUGAGCUGCUAAAGCCCAGUGAGCGGAAUCUAUAAAAAAUCACAUUUAAAACAUGCUAUCAUAUGAUGCAUCACUGCACAAACAUUUCACAUCUCGGAUUGGACAUGAUCCCAAAACUCCCUCUGUCAGUGCCCGGCCCCCAAAGGAGCUCACACAGGUCUUUCACUAACUACUCAUGGUGCCCGACCCUAUAAGGGCUCUCACAGGACUCAUCCAAGGUAAAUGCCCGGCCCCCAAAGGAGCUCACACAGGACAUACAAUAAUGACAGACAUAUGGGCUAUUGAGAUCGCCUCGGUCCAAUCCACAUAUACAAGUAAUAAUGCAAUGCAUCAACUUGGUGCAUACUAAUGCAAAGCAUCCUACAUAAACAUGGCAUUAAUGAUGCAUGAAUCAUGCUAAAACAGUUCUUAACUUUUAAAAUAAAGUUCUGUUCCACUCACCUCUGUCAACUGCUGNNNNNNNNNNNNNNNNNNNNNNNNNNNNNNNNNNNNNNNNNNNNNNNNNNNNNNNNNNNNNNNNNNNNNNNNNNNNNNNNNNNNNNNNNNNNNNNNNNNNNNNNNNNNNNNNNNNNNNNNNNNNNNNNNNNNNNNNNNNNNNNNNNNNNNNNNNNNNNNNNNNNNNNNNNNNNNNNNNNNNNNNNNNNNNNNNNNNNNNGAAAGGCAGAAUCCGAGCACAACUCAUGCUCUCAGCCUCCAAAAUCCUAUCAAACACCCAUAACAUGCAUACCAACACUUCUCAACUCACAAAGAACAUAACUCAUGCAUAUAGAGGCCUAAAAACUAGCUCAAGCCUCAAAAACAACAACAAAACUCAUAGAAACUCAUAUGAUCAACAUAUGUUCAAACUCAUGUUUAUACCCCCAAAACAUGCCAUACAACUCUAAACUUACUUGAAACAUAAGGGGAGGUGAGGAUCCAUGCUUACCUCUUGAAGAACUAGAGGAUUGAUGAUCCAAGCUUGGAGAUGGGGGAAAACUCAAUCAAAAUCUCCAAGUGCUCAACUUUGCUUCUUUUUGCUCAAAACUCUUAAACAAAACUCAAAUCAAGUUAAAACAUGCAAGAUUUGAGGAAAACAUGAGAAAUCACACCAAGGAGAGCUUGAACCUACCUUUGACCCAAAAACAGAGUAUGUACCACUCACGUCUCGGGCAAAGGGGCUUUUGUAGUGGCCAACCGACUCUUCCUUCGGCGGCCUAACGUGCAUGCGAAACCAUGCAACUUUCGGCGGCCGAACUUCACCUUCGGCGGCCGAACCUGGCUUUUGUCCCCUUGGCCUUUUCAUUUCAAAACUCAAUUUUCUUAACUCAAAACAUGCAAACAUGAUAAAAACACUUAAAAACAUCUUAAAAACCUUUCUUAUACCCUUAGGGCAAGCUCCGACAUCCUCGAAUCCCGACUUCCAACGGAAAAUCCGCCGGAACGUAGGAAUUCCGAUACCGGGGUCUAGCCGGGUAUUACAAUUACAACAUAAGUUGAGUUGGUUUACAUAAACAUCAUAAAAGAUCUAGGAUUAUGCAUUGAAAGGGAUAUCUUAAACAUAGGUCAAGCACAACCUCUAAUCCUCAAUAUCAUUACAUUACAUAACUAUUCAUAAUUUUACAUUUUAUCAUGUCCAAAGUCUAUCUAUUACAUACAAACGACUUCAACACUCCUGCUGACCUCCUGGUCUACCCUAUACCUGCAAACCUGGGGAAUUUGGGAGAGGGGUGAGCUACUAGAGCCCAGUGAGCAGAAUAGUAAAGCAUUUAAAACACAUGCUAUCAUGAAAUGCAUCACAUCACAACUAAUCAUAUCAAGGAUGAACUUGUCACCAUCUAGCCCUCUACAUAUUCCAAUCAUGCCAGGGGCAUAGUGCAGGCCACACCUGGUCUUUCUCUUAUACAUAACAUAACAUACAUAACCAAACUGUGCCGGGGGCGUAGUGCAGGCCACACCCGGUCUUUCUCUUACAUAGUGCCAGGGGUGUAGUGCAGGUCACACCUGGACUUCCAUAUCAUAACAUCACAUCAUAACAUAUGAGGGCCAGUGGAUCAUUCAACAUUCAUCCACAUCAACAACAUAUUAUGCAAUGCAACAUAUUCGUGAGUUCUAAUGCAAACACCCUAAUAUAGCUCAUGGUAUUCAUGAUGCAUGAAUCAUGCUAAACUUUUCAUUUAUUUAAAACAUAAGAGUUUAUUCUACUCACCUCUGGUUAGCUCUGACACUGACUGAAGCAGCUGACUCACUGCUGAGGUCCUCGGUUCCUCGAGUCCGAACCUACACAGGUGGACUCAAAUGAGGGACCAACAUACUAUAACAUGACUCUGAAAACAUCCCCCAAAAACCCUCUAAAACAUCUCAAAACAUUCAUUCAAGAACAUGCAAAAGAAGGCUGGACAGGGCACUUUCGGCGGCAGGUUUGGCGGCCGAAAGUCCCUCUAGAGCCGAAAGUUAGGCAGGUUCGGCGGCACCUUCGGCGGCCGAAACUCCCAGACAGAGGCGAAACUCAUGCAUGUUCGGCGGCACCUUCGGCGGCCGAAAGUGCCAGACAGAGACGAAAGUCUCCUUUCGGGGGCAAGCUUCGGCAGCCGAAGGCUGCCUCCACAAGCACGUUCGGCGGCCGAAAGUUCCUUCGGCUGCCGAACCUGGUUUCUCCCAGAAUGGCAGAAACUCAGCUCCCUUAUGCAUUUAUGCCUCCCAUCUCAUCCAAACAUGCAUUUAGCUCAACCAAAACAUGCAUACAAGUUCCUAGGGGCAUCAACUAGCUAAAACCCCAUCUACAACACAUCAAACAUGCAUUUGCAAGCCACAUUGUUCAAAAUCACAACAUUAACUCAUAUACUCCAACAUAGCCUAACAUGCAUUUCUACCCCCAUGAACUUGCAUAAAACUUGUUUAAAACAUAAUGUAAGCUAGAGAUCGACUCUUACCUCUUGAAGAUCGAGAGUAGAGGCGAUCUAUCUUGGAGUUGGGAGGGAUUUGAGUUCUUGAACCUCAAAGCUCCAAAACUUGCUCAAAACUUGGAAAUCUUCAAGACAAGAUGAAAACUAGUGAAAAACUUGAAAGAUUUGAAGGAAAGGACUCAAGAUCGGUGAGGGAUGGCGGAAAACUCACCUUGGCCGACAACGGAGAGAAAAACUCGCCCGUUUUCGGCUAAGGGACCCUUUUAUAGUGGCUGGCCAGGCCACGUUCGGGGGCCGAAUGUGCCUCCGCAUGCAUGCCAUGUUUCGCGGCCGAACUUGAGGUUCGGAGGCCGAACCUGGGAUUCCCUCACUUAUGCCUUCGGGGGCCUAAGGCACACCCGAAAUGCAUGCAUGUUCGGCGGCCGAACUUGAGGUUCAGCGGCCGAACCUGGGUUUUCCUCCAAAAUCAUUUUCAUGCAAAAACUCAAUUACAGCUUGCUUAAAACCAUAAAACACAUUAAAACAUUUUAUGAAAAACAUGGUUUUACCCUUCUAGAGGCUUCCGACAUCCGGGAUUCCAUCGGACGGUAGGAAUUCCGAUACCGGAGUCUAGCCAGGUAUUACAGACAACACUGAAGCAGCUGAACUCAUUGCUGGGGUCCUUGGUUCCUCGGGUCCGAACCUACACAGGUGGACUCAAAUGAGGGACCAAACAUACUAGAACAUGACUCUAAAAUACUCCCCAAAAACCCCCCGAAAGCACCUCAAAACAUCAUGGAAAAACAUGCAAAGGAGGGCUGCACAGGGCACUUUCGGCGGCAGGUUCGGCGGCCGAAAGUCCCUCCAGAGCCGAAAGUCAGGCAGGUUCGGCGGCACCUUCGGCGGCCGAAACUCCCAGACAGAGGCGAAACUCAUGCAUGUUCGGCGGCACUUUCGGCGGCCGAAAGUGCCAGACAGAGACGAAAGUCUCCUUUCGGGGGCAGGCUUCGGCAGCCGAAAGGCUUGCCUCCCAGCCAUGUUCGGCGGCCGAAAGUCCUUCGGCUGCCGAACCUGGUUUCUGCCAAAGGGCAGAAACCUGGCUCCUCUAUGCACAUUUGCCUCCAAAACUUCCAAUCAUGCAUAAACCUAUUCUACAACACUCCCAAACAUAUAACAUCAAGCAUACAAGUUCCUAGGGGCUUCAGAACAUCAAAAACCCCAACUACAAUACAUCAAACAACUCACAUUGCUCAAAACAUCACAUGAACACAUAAACUCCAACAUAACCUAACUUGCAUUUCUACCAUUUAAAUCUACUUAAAACUUGUUAAAAACAUAAAAAGAGUUCAAGAUCGACCCUUACCUCUUGAAGAUCGAGAGAGAGACGACCUCAACUUGAAGAUGGGAGAGAUUUGAGUUCUUGAACCUCAAAGCUCCAAAACUUGUUCAAAUGCUCAAAAUCUUCAAAACAAAGGUAAAACUAAUGAAAAUCGUGAAAGAUUUGAAGGAAAGGACUCAAGAUCGGUGAGGGAUGGCGGAGAGCUCACCUUGGCCGACGACGGGGAAAAAGCUCGCCCGUUUUCGGCUAAGGGACCCUUUUAUAGUGGCUGGCCAGGCCACG
This 7023-nucleotide long non-coding RNA is filed under the name Manihot esculenta (cassava). RNAcentral describes it as "long non-coding RNA (MESC_LNC005503)". Lineage: Eukaryota; Viridiplantae; Streptophyta; Magnoliopsida; Malpighiales; Euphorbiaceae. The record is from RNAcentral.